This 305-nucleotide ribosomal RNA is filed under the name uncultured bacterium. RNAcentral describes it as "partial 16S ribosomal RNA". It matches the Rfam family "Bacterial small subunit ribosomal RNA", at positions 508 to 807 of the family's 1533-position model. The record is from RNAcentral.
ACAGCAGCCGCCGCGGGAAUACGUAGGUGGCAAGCGUUGUCCGGAAUUAUUGGGCGUAAAGGGCUCGCAGGCGGUUUCUUAAGUCUGAUGUGAAAGCCCCCGGCUCAACCGGGGAGGGUCAUUGGAAACUGGGAAACUUGAGUGCAGAAGAGGAGAGUGGAAUUCCACGUGUAGCGGUGAAAUGCGUAGAGAUGUGGAGGAACACCAGUGGCGAAGGCGACUCUCUGGUCUGUAACUGACGCUGAGGAGCGAAAGCGUGGGGAGCGAACAGGAUUAGAGACCCCAGUAGUCCCUGUCUCUUAUAC